Long non-coding RNA from Onychostoma macrolepis, 611 nucleotides. RefSeq lists it as uncharacterized. The record is from RefSeq and is a predicted model, not a curated record. NCBI's taxonomy places the organism in Eukaryota, Metazoa, Chordata, Actinopteri, Cypriniformes, Cyprinidae. The transcript is spliced from 3 exons.
UGUGACUGUUUCAUGUAGUUUUUCUUCUCUUUGCAGAAUAACAUUCUUGAAAAAGCAGAAGCCAUCAUUGGUCCAUACUUGGAAUGCUGUGAAGUGAGCUGGUCAGUAAUGUAAUGUUCCUGGUAUGCAAGUUUGCUCCACAAAAUAAAGUGGUCCAGGAAAUAUAUGAAAAUGAGGAUGUUCAUGAUUCAAUAUCCUAAACUAAACCCUUCAGGAAGACGUUGCAAACACGUCUGGAGACUUUGAGAAGAUAUCUGGCAAGCCAACCUAUGGCCUGGUUUAAAGGGAGCACAUUCAAACUACAGCAGUUUAAUGAUACACCUGCUAUAACUUUUUGUUGUGAAAUCUUCCUGUGGAUUAUACAUGCAUUUAAUUCUCUGGAUUUGUUUGUAAUUAUAUAAAAAUGGAAAGAAGUCAUAAUUAUACUUGAUUAUUUUAUUGUAAUAUUGGACCUGUAAACUGAUUAUUUUCAAUCAAAAUUUCUUUCAUUUUGUUCUUACACAAACAAUUGAAUUGACAUUGAAUUAAACAACAUUAACAGCACGGAGAAGAAGAAAAAAACUAACUAUUUUGGCUAUUUUUUACAUUACAAACGCAACUGCAAUAGACUA